This 253-nucleotide ribosomal RNA is filed under the name uncultured bacterium. RNAcentral describes it as "partial 16S ribosomal RNA". It matches the Rfam family "Bacterial small subunit ribosomal RNA", at positions 524 to 776 of the family's 1533-position model. The record is from RNAcentral.
UACGGGGGGUGCGAGCGUUGUCCGGAAUCACUGGGCGUAAAGGGCGCGUAGGUGGUUUGAUAAGGGUGUGGUGAAAGCCCGGGGCUCAACCCCGGGUCUGCCGUGCCGACUGUCAAACUCGAGGGCUGUAGAGGCAGACGGAAUUCCGGGUGUAGCGGUGGAAUGCGUAGAGAUCCGGAAGAACACCGGUGGCGAAGGCGGCCUGCUGGGCAGUGGCUGACGCUGAGGCGCGAAGGCCAGGGGAGCAAACGGG